GCUGGGCACAGUGGCACAUGCCUGUAAUCCCAGCGGCCUGGGAGGCUGAGGCAGGAGGAUUUCAAAUUUAAACUAGCCUCAGUAAUGGUGAGGCACUGAGCAACUCAUGAGACCCUGUCUCUA
This 123-nucleotide small RNA is filed under the name Marmota monax (woodchuck). The record is from RNAcentral. Lineage: Eukaryota; Metazoa; Chordata; Mammalia; Rodentia; Sciuridae.